UUAAGUUCAGCGGGUAUCCCUACCUGAUCCGAGGUCAACCUGAAAAAUGGGGGUUCUGGCAGGUGCCGCCCGGGAGUCUGUAGCGAGGAGUAUUACUACGCUUAGAGCCCGGCCGUACCGCCACUGCUUUGAGGCCCGCCAGCCGGCGGUGCCCAAGACCAGCAAGCUGGAUUGGUUAUAAUGACGCUCGAACAGGCAUG
RNAcentral lists this unclassified non-coding RNA (200 nucleotides) under Helotiales sp. RNAcentral's name for it is "partial internal transcribed spacer 2". The record is from RNAcentral. Lineage: Eukaryota; Fungi; Ascomycota; Leotiomycetes; Helotiales.